UCCCUGGCAGUCUAGUGGUUAAGACUCUGUGCUUCUACUGCAGGGGGCACAGGUUCAAUCCCUGGUCAGGGAA
This 73-nucleotide transfer RNA is filed under the name Tursiops truncatus (common bottlenose dolphin). RNAcentral's name for it is "tRNA-Arg (TCT) (tRNA-Arg-TCT-25-1)". It matches the Rfam family "tRNA". Rfam says of the family: Transfer RNA (tRNA) molecules are approximately 80 nucleotides in length. Their secondary structure includes four short double-helical elements and three loops (D, anti-codon, and T loops). Lineage: Eukaryota; Metazoa; Chordata; Mammalia; Artiodactyla; Delphinidae. RNAcentral also lists the same sequence under 3 other names. The record is from Rfam by way of RNAcentral.